GAUGAACGCUGGCGGCGUGCCUAAUACAUGCAAGUCGAGCGAACGGACGAGAAGCUUGCUUUUCUGAUGUUAGCGGCGGACGGGUGAGUAACACGUGGAUAACCUACCUAUAAGACUGGGAUAACUUCGGGAAACCGGAGCUAAUACCGGAUAAUAUUUUGAACCGCAUGGUUCAAAAGUGAAAGACGGUCUUGCUGUCACUUAUAGAUGGAUCCGCGCUGCAUUAGCUAGUUGGUAAGGUAACGGCUUACCAAGGCAACGAUGCAUAGCCGACCUGAGAGGGUGAUCGGCCACACUGGAACUGAGACACGGUCCAGACUCCUACGGGAGGCAGCAGUAGGGAAUCUUCCGCAAUGGGCGAAAGCCUGACGGAGCAACGCCGCGUGAGUGAUGAAGGUCUUCGGAUCGUAAAACUCUGUUAUUAGGGAAGAACAUAUGUGUAAGUAACUGUGCACAUCUUGACGGUACCUAAUCAGAAAGCCACGGCUAACUACGUGCCAGCAGCCGCGGUAAUACGUAGGUGGCAAGCGUUAUCCGGAAUUAUUGGGCGUAAAGCGCGCGUAGGCGGUUUUUUAAGUCUGAUGUGAAAGCCCACGGCUCAACCGUGGAGGGUCAUUGGAAACUGGAAAACUUGAGUGCAGAAGGGGAAAGUGGAAUUCCAUGUGUAGCGGUGAAAUGCGCAGAGAUAUGGAGGAACACCAGUGGCGAAGGCGACUUUCUGGUCUGUAACUGACGCUGAUGUGCGAAAGCGUGGGGAUCAAACAGGAUUAGAUACCCUGGUAGUCCACGCCGUAAACGAUGAGUGCUAAGUGUUAGGGGGUUUCCGCCCCUUAGUGCUGCAGCUAACGCAUUAAGCACUCCGCCUGGGGAGUACGACCGCAAGGUUGAAACUCAAAGGAAUUGACGGGGACCCGCACAAGCGGUGGAGCAUGUGGUUUAAUUCGAAGCAACGCGAAGAACCUUACCAAAUCUUGACAUCCUUUGACAACUCUAGAGAUAGAGCCUUCCCCUUCGGGGGACAAAGUGACAGGUGGUGCAUGGUUGUCGUCAGCUCGUGUCGUGAGAUGUUGGGUUAAGUCCCGCAACGAGCGCAACCCUUAAGCUUAGUUGCCAUCAUUAAGUUGGGCACUCUAAGUUGACUGCCGGUGACAAACCGGAGGAAGGUGGGGAUGACGUCAAAUCAUCAUGCCCCUUAUGAUUUGGGCUACACACGUGCUACAAUGGACAAUACAAAGGGCAGCGAAACCGCGAGGUCAAGCAAAUCCCAUAAAGUCGUUCUCAGUUCGGAUUGUAGUCUGCAACUCGACUACAUGAAGCUGGAAUCGCUAGUAAUCGUAGAUCAGCAUGCUACGGUGAAUACGUUCCCGGGUCU
This 1372-nucleotide ribosomal RNA is filed under the name uncultured bacterium. RNAcentral describes it as "bacterial SSU rRNA". It matches the Rfam family "Bacterial small subunit ribosomal RNA", at positions 28 to 1381 of the family's 1533-position model. The record is from RNAcentral.